This 499-nucleotide ribosomal RNA is filed under the name uncultured bacterium. RNAcentral describes it as "partial 16S ribosomal RNA". It matches the Rfam family "Bacterial small subunit ribosomal RNA", at positions 28 to 523 of the family's 1533-position model. The record is from RNAcentral.
AUUGAACGCUGGCGGAAUGCUUUACACAUGCAAGUCGAGCGGCAGCGCGGGGCAACCUGGCGGCGAGCGGCGAACGGGUGAGUAAUGCAUCGGAACGUGUCCAUGUCGUGGGGGAUGGCCCGGCGAAAGCCGGAUUAAUACCGCAUACGCCCGAGAGGGGAAAGUGGGGGACCGCAAGGCCUCACGCGAUUGGGCCGGCCGAUGUCCGAUUAGCUAGUUGGCGGGGUAAAGGCCCACCAAGGCGAUGAUCGGUGGCUGGUCUGAGAGGAUGCUCAGCCACACUGGGACUGAGACGCGGCCCAGACUCCUACGGGAGGCAGCAGUGGGGAAUUUUGGACAAUGGGGGCAACCCUGAUCCAGCCAUUCCGCGUGAGUGAAGAAGGCCUUCGGGUUGUAAAGCUCUUUUGUCCGGAACGAAACGGAUGACGUGAAUAUCGUCGUCUACUGACGGUACCGGAAGAAUAAGCACCGGCUAACUACGUGCCAGCCGCCGCCGUAA